CCUCCAACUCUUCAACACUCAUUCGUUCAACAGACCCUCCAUAACGCGCAUCAAAAAAGGGCUUCUUUAUAUGCUUCUCCAAAAGUUUCCUAGCAUGUUCCCGGACUCUGUUCUCCAUAGAGCAAAGUGCAAAUUUCCAGCCAACACUGCUGUUAAGAUUGCAUAAGAGAGCAUCAAUCCACUCACUCUUACCAGAAUUGGGAACCCCAGUUACUAUAGUCAACUCUCCUGGCAUAACUUUGUAUAAUUCAUUUAGAGCCUUCCACCCAGUUGAUACGCCACAUUCAUAACCAAGAGUUCGAUUAUAGUAGUCAUCAAUUUCAAUAAAGUAAUCCCUGAACUUGAACAACCCACGGAUGGGGUAUAACUCUGCAUUUUCAAUUGCUUCCCUCAGUGCAGUGGGACCCAAAAACAUGAGAACCUCAUUUGCAUCUUUGCAAUACUCCUCUUUACUUUUCUUAGGCCACUUGACUCUCCAGCAUCUUUCCCUUCCAAUACGACGUGCGAUCUCUUCAGCUAAAGCUUGACCAGGUGGAUCUUCAUCAGUAGCAAGUAUUAUACGAGAUGCCUUAUUCAAGUACUCUUUGCAAUUCCAUAGAUAUUGAUAUUUUGUGUCCUUCUCUUCAGAAGGCAACUCUUUUGAAGAAACUUUUGGAGGCGCGCCAUCAGGUACACUCACACAAGUACGGAACCCAGCUUCUUCCAUUGCAAGCUUGUCUAUUUCACCUUCAACAAUAAUGACAUCAUCAGCUUCCUUGAUAUCAUCCAGCCCAUAAAAUAUUUUUUC
RNAcentral lists this unclassified non-coding RNA (787 nucleotides) under Hevea brasiliensis (rubber tree). The record is from RNAcentral. Lineage: Eukaryota; Viridiplantae; Streptophyta; Magnoliopsida; Malpighiales; Euphorbiaceae.